This 253-nucleotide ribosomal RNA is filed under the name uncultured bacterium. RNAcentral's name for it is "partial 16S ribosomal RNA". It matches the Rfam family "Bacterial small subunit ribosomal RNA", at positions 524 to 776 of the family's 1533-position model. The record is from RNAcentral.
UACGGAGGGGGUUAGCGUUGUUCGGAAUUACUGGGCGUAAAGCGCACGUAGGCGGACUGGAAAGUUAGAGGUGAAAUCCCGGGGCUCAACCCCGGAACUGCCUUUAAAACUAUCAGUCUAGAGUUCGAGAGAGGUGAGUGGAAUUCCGAGUGUAGAGGUGAAAUUCGUAGAUAUUCGGAGGAACACCAGUGGCGAAGGCGGCUCACUGGCUCGAUACUGACGCUGAGGUGCGAAAGUGUGGGGAGCAAACAGG